GACGAACGCUGGCGGCGUGCUUAACACAUGCAAGUCGAACGAAGAGCGAUGGAAGCUUGCUUCUAUCAAUCUUAGUGGCGAACGGGUGAGUAACGCGUAAUCAACCUGCCCUUCAGAGGGAGACAACAGUUGGAAACGACUGCUAAUACCGCAUACGAUCUAAUCUCGGCAUCGAGGAUAGAUGAAAGGUGGCCUCUACAUGUAAGCUAUCACUGAAGGAGGGGAUUGCGUCUGAUUAGCUAGUUGGAGGGGUAACGGCCCACCAAGGCGAUGAUCAGUAGCCGGUCUGAGAGGAUGAACGGCCACAUUGGGACUGAGACACGGCCCAGACUCCUACGGGAGGCAGCAGUGGGGAAUCUUCCGCAAUGGACGAAAGUCUGACGGAGCAACGCCGCGUGAGUGAUGACGGCCUUCGGGUUGUAAAGCUCUGUUAAUCGGGACGAAAGGCCUUCUUGCGAAUAGUGAGAAGGAUUGACGGUACCGGAAUAGAAAGCCACGGCUAACUACGUG
This 510-nucleotide ribosomal RNA is filed under the name uncultured bacterium. RNAcentral describes it as "partial 16S ribosomal RNA". It matches the Rfam family "Bacterial small subunit ribosomal RNA", at positions 28 to 507 of the family's 1533-position model. The record is from RNAcentral.